This 1684-nucleotide long non-coding RNA is filed under the name Salmo salar (Atlantic salmon). Its description in RNAcentral is "lncRNA (ENSSSAG00000088540.1)". The record is from RNAcentral. Lineage: Eukaryota; Metazoa; Chordata; Actinopteri; Salmoniformes; Salmonidae.
CUUUGGAAUGUGGGUGCGUGUCCAUGGUAGAAGAGUGUCGUUUUUUUAGUGAUAGUGAUACCAGAGAAUCAGACAGGGAUGGCAACAGUUUACCCAUCUCUUCUAUGGUGCGUGAUGCUGCUGGACUGCCGGCUGUGUUAGGGAGCCCCAGUGUUCCUGUCGGGCCAGGCAACAGACAGUGUGCUGAAGAGACAGCGGCGCCACAACACUGGGGUGUUCCAGGAUAUGUUAUUGGUGAACCUGGAGAGUGUGUGUCUGGAGGAAAGCUGUGACCUGGAGGAGGCCAGGGAGGCAUUCGAGAACGAUGAGAAAACAUAACAGCCAGGCAGUGUAAGGUGAAUAACGGAGAAUGUAUUCUGUGGCACCUAUGGGGCACAAUGUAGCUGUGCAGAGGGGCUACAAGCUGCCUCAGAAUGGAGUCAACUUUAAACCUGAAGAUUCUUCAAAGUAGCCACCCAUUGCCUCGAUGACAGCUUUGCACACUCUUGGCAUUCUCUCAACCAGCUUCAUGAGGUAGUCACCUGGAAUGCAUUUCAAUUAACAGGGGAGCAUAACAUCUAUGCCAAAGAGGGCACGGAGCAGGACCAUAAGGUUUUGAAGCAGUACAAAACACCCUCUACAACUCUUAGCGGAGUCUGUACAAUCAUGAUAAUCGCCCUGCUGCGCCUCCACACCCCCAUCCUCUUCUCCUCCCACGCCAGACCCAUCUUCCUGGGGCCCAAGGUAUUCACCGAAGACUUGGUGAAGGAUGAGUCCCCGGCUACAAUCAGCGGCUGGGGUCGCACACAUUACAGAAGGUAGAGGUGCCAUUUACAGAGAGGACGCAGUGUAAGGAUAGCAGUAGUGCCCGCAUCACCAAGUACGUAUUUCCGUGCCGGCUAUGCUGACGUGGCCAAAGACUUGCGCCGGGGGAGAGCGGAGGUCCCCAUACCAACCGUUACCAUGACACCUGGUUCCUGACUGGGAUUGUGAACUGGGGGGAGGAGUGUGCCAAGGAGGGGAAGUAUGGGGUGUACACCAGAGUGUACACCAGACUAGCAUUACUAUAGAUGGAUACGUCACGUUAUGGCGGUGACCAAGGACAUGCUGCAUGAUGACCUGGACAACUAACGCUUGACCUUUGACCCUCAGGGUCCUCUGUCUUGUUUCAGGUCUCAUUUUCAGGGUUCAAUUCAUAAAAUGUCAAUUUUGUAUUCUUGCAUCGUCUUCCUCCAAUAUGCUGGUGAGAACACGUUUUACAAGACAGAUACCUGUAUGUCCAACAGGUGCCUACUGCACAUCAUGGUUAUUCAUAAAACAAUAAGAGUAAUUUACUGACGGAUGAAGGCAAAUGGCUGUCUGCAAACAACAAUUGCUUUAUGGUAUUUUGCUAUAGAGUAGCACAGAUUAAAACAAGGUGCAGAACAAAUGUAUUAUUUUAAUAAAUACUUUAUUUGGUCUAUAUACAAAAUGCAGCCAAACAAUAACAAUGACUGUAAAACAACCUGAAACCUGCCAUGUUCAGUCAAUAUUCAGUUUGCCAUGCAAUUUCUCUAUUGAGAAACAUUCAGCAACAAGCUUACAGCGCUUGUCAAAGACGCACAGCAUUUAAGCAUAUACUAAACAAAAAUAAAUUCAACAUGCAACAAUUUCAAGGUUUUACUGUGUUACAGUUCAUAUAAGGAAAUCAGUCAAUUUAAAUAUA